This 327-nucleotide ribosomal RNA is filed under the name Belnapia rosea. Its description in RNAcentral is "bacterial LSU rRNA". It matches the Rfam family "Bacterial large subunit ribosomal RNA", at positions 2583 to 2925 of the family's 2925-position model. Lineage: Bacteria; Pseudomonadati; Pseudomonadota; Alphaproteobacteria; Acetobacterales; Roseomonadaceae. The record is from RNAcentral.
GCCGAUUAAAGCGGUACGUGAGCUGGGUUUAGAACGUCGUGAGACAGUUCGGUCCCUAUCUGCCGUGGGUGCAGGAGACUUGCGAGGAUCUGUCCCUAGUACGAGAGGACCGGGAUGGACGUACCUCUGGUGUACCAGUUGUGGCGCCCGCCGCAUCGCUGGGUAGCUAAGUCCGGACGGGAUAACUGCUGAAGGCAUCUAAGCAGGAAACCCCCCUCCAAACGAGGUCUCCCUCGAGGGCCGUGAUAGACCAUCACGUCGAUAGGCCGCAGGUCGAAGUCGGGUAACCGACGCAGCCGAGCGGUCCUAAUCGCCCGAUAGAACUUC